Rattus norvegicus (Norway rat) is the source of this 316-nucleotide non-coding RNA. Lineage: Eukaryota; Metazoa; Chordata; Mammalia; Rodentia; Muridae. The record is from RefSeq and is a predicted model, not a curated record.
UUCAUCUGUGAUGUCACAAGUGUUGUCAUGUCAGCCACUGCCUCUCAGAUAUUCCUUCCAUAUUUCUAUGGUUUACUAAUUGGCCUCUAAUUCAGAGUAAAGAGCCAUUUGGAAGGGAGGACAAAUAGGAUGAAGAGAUCAGAGAUGGGGAGAAGGAAGAUGGCCUUCUGUCAUGGUAUAAUAGAAAAGAAGAAAUAUGUGUUUCUUGGGAAAACACCCUGAAAAUUUUCAUCAAAGGAGCAAGAAAUUCUUCAUAACUUCAACACAACAUGGCCUUUGGGAACAGAAUAAAACACAAAUAAGGAAAGGCGGAAAA